Molecule: ribosomal RNA, 424 nt
Filed under: Verrucomicrobiota bacterium
Lineage: Bacteria; Pseudomonadati; Verrucomicrobiota
Description: Verrucomicrobia bacterium partial 16S ribosomal RNA
Rfam family: Bacterial small subunit ribosomal RNA
Source: RNAcentral
UGAGGAAUAUUGGUCAAUGGACGGAAGUCUGAACCAGCCAAGUAGCGUGCAGGAUGACGGCCCUAUGGGUUGUAAACUGCUUUUAUACGGGGAUAAAGUUAGGGACGUGUCCCUAUUUGCAGGUACCGUAUGAAUAAGGACCGGCUAAUUCCGUGCCAGCAGCCGCGGUAAUACGGAAGGUCCGGGCGUUAUCCGGAUUUAUUGGGUUUAAAGGGAGCGUAGGCCGUUUGGUAAGCGUGUUGUGAAAUGUAGGAGCUCAACUUCUAGAUUGCAGCGCGAACUGUCAGACUUGAGUGCGCACAACGUAGGCGGAAUUCAUGGUGUAGCGGUGAAAUGCUUAGAUAUCAUGAAGAACUCCGAUUGCGAAGGCAGCUUACGGGAGCGCAACUGACGCUGAAGCUCGAAGGUGCGGGUAUCGAACAGG